GGGUUGUGAGGUUAAGCGACUAAGCGUACACGGUGGAUGCCCUGGCAGUCAGAGGCGAUGAAGGGCGUGCUAAUCUGCGAUAAGCGCCGGUAAGGUGAUAUGAACCGUUAUAACCGGCGAUACCCGAAUGGGGAAACCCAGUGUGAUUCGUCACACUAUCAUUAACUGAAUCCAUAGGUUAAUGAGGCGAACCGGGGGAACUGAAACAUCUAAGUACCCCGAGGAAAAGAAAUCAACCGAGAUUCCCCCAGUAGCGGCGAGCGAACGGGGAGGAGCCCAGAGCCUGAAUCAGCAUGUGUGUUAGUGGAAGCGUCUGGAAAGGCGCGCGAUACAGGGUGACAGCCCCGUACACAAAAGCGCAUGUGCUGUGAGCUCGAUGAGUAGGGCGGGACACGUGGUAUCCUGUCUGAAUAUGGGGGGACCAUCCUCCAAGGCUAAAUACUCCUGACUGACCGAUAGUGAACCAGUACCGUGAGGGAAAGGCGAAAAGAACCCCGGCGAGGGGAGUGAAAAAGAACCUGAAACCGUGUACGUACAAGCAGUGGGAGCACAGGUUUACCUGUGUGACUGCGUACCUUUUGUAUAAUGGGUCAGCGACUUAUAUUCUGUAGCAAGGUUAACCGUAUAGGGGAGCCGUAGGGAAACCGAGUCUUAAUUGGGCGUUAAGUUGCAGGGUAUAGACCCGAAACCCGGUGAUCUAGCCAUGGGCAGGUUGAAGGUUGGGUAACACUAACUGGAGGACCGAACCGACUAAUGUUGAAAAAUUAGCGGAUGACCUGUGGCUGGGGGUGAAAGGCCAAUCAAACCGGGAGAUAGCUGGUUCUCCCCGAAAGCUAUUUAGGUAGCGCCUCGUGAAUUCAUCUCCGGGGGUAGAGCACUGUUUCGGCUAGGGGGCCAUCCCGGCUUACCAACCCGAUGCAAACUGCGAAUACCGGAGAAUGUUAUCACGGGAGACACACGGCGGGUGCUAACGUCCGUCGUGAAGAGGGAAACAACCCAGACCGCCAGCUAAGGUCCCAAAGUCAUGGUUAAGUGGGAAACGAUGUGGGAAGGCCCAGACAGCCAGGAUGUUGGCUUAGAAGCAGCCAUCAUUUAAAGAAAGCGUAAUAGCUCACUGGUCGAGUCGGCCUGCGCGGAAGAUGUAACGGGGCUAAACCAUGCACCGAAGCUGCGGCAGCGACGCUUAUGCGUUGUUGGGUAGGGGAGCGUUCUGUAAGCCUGUGAAGGUGGCCUGUGAGGGUUGCUGGAGGUAUCAGAAGUGCGAAUGCUGACAUAAGUAACGAUAAAGCGGGUGAAAAGCCCGCUCGCCGGAAGACCAAGGGUUCCUGUCCAACGUUAAUCGGGGCAGGGUGAGUCGACCCCUAAGGCGAGGCCGAAAGGCGUAGUCGAUGGGAAACAGGUUAAUAUUCCUGUACUUGGUGUUACUGCGAAGGGGGGACGGAGAAGGCUAUGUUGGCCGGGCGACGGUUGUCCCGGUUUAAGCGUGUAGGUGUGUGUUCCAGGUAAAUCCGGUUCACUUUAACACUGAGGCGUGAUGACGAGGCACUACGGUGCUGAAGCAACAAAUGCCCUGCUUCCAGGAAAAGCCUCUAAGCAUCAGGUAACAUCAAAUCGUACCCCAAACCGACACAGGUGGUCAGGUAGAGAAUACCAAGGCGCUUGAGAGAACUCGGGUGAAGGAACUAGGCAAAAUGGUGCCGUAACUUCGGGAGAAGGCACGCUGACACGUAGGUGAAGUGAUUUACUCAUGGAGCUGAAGUCAGUCGAAGAUACCAGCUGGCUGCAACUGUUUAUUAAAAACACAGCACUGUGCAAACACGAAAGUGGACGUAUACGGUGUGACGCCUGCCCGGUGCCGGAAGGUUAAUUGAUGGGGUCAGCGCAAGCGAAGCUCCUGAUCGAAGCCCCGGUAAACGGCGGCCGUAACUAUAACGGUCCUAAGGUAGCGAAAUUCCUUGUCGGGUAAGUUCCGACCUGCACGAAUGGCGUAAUGAUGGCCAGGCUGUCUCCACCCGAGACUCAGUGAAAUUGAACUCGCUGUGAAGAUGCAGUGUACCCGCGGCAAGACGGAAAGACCCCGUGAACCUUUACUAUAGCUUGACACUGAACAUUGAGCCUUGAUGUGUAGGAUAGGUGGGAGGCUUUGAAG
Molecule: ribosomal RNA, 2149 nt
Filed under: Salmonella enterica subsp. enterica serovar Paratyphi B var. L(+) tartrate +
Lineage: Bacteria; Pseudomonadati; Pseudomonadota; Gammaproteobacteria; Enterobacterales; Enterobacteriaceae
Description: partial 23S ribosomal RNA
Rfam family: Bacterial large subunit ribosomal RNA
Source: RNAcentral